AUAUCAAUAAGCGGAGGAAAAGAAACUAACAGAGGAUUCCCCUAGUAACUGCGAGUGAAGCGGGAAAAGCUCAAAUUUAAAAUCUGGCGGUCUCGAUCGUCCGAGUUGUAAUUUAGAGAAGCGUCUUCCGCGCUGACCGUGCACAAGUCUCCUGGAAUGGAGCGUCAUAGAGGGUGAGAAUCCCGUCUUUGGCACGGAUCACCAGGUGCUUCUGUGAUGCGCUCUCGAAGAGUCGAGUUGUUUGGGAAUGCAGCUCAAAAUGGGUGGUGAACUCCAUCUAAAGCUAAAUAUUGGCGAGAGACCGAUAGCGAACAAGUACCGUGAGGGAAAGAUGAAAAGCACUUUGGAAAGAGAGUGAAACAGUAC
RNAcentral lists this ribosomal RNA (366 nucleotides) under uncultured fungus. RNAcentral describes it as "eukaryotic LSU rRNA". It matches the Rfam family "Eukaryotic large subunit ribosomal RNA", at positions 40 to 398 of the family's 3401-position model. Lineage: Eukaryota; Fungi. The record is from RNAcentral.